AUUGAACGCUGGCGGCAUGCUUUACACAUGCAAGUCGAACGGCAGCGCGGGGCAACCUGGCGGCGAGUGGCGAACGGGUGAGUAAUACAUCGGAACGUACCCAGAAGUGGGGGAUAACGUAGCGAAAGUUACGCUAAUACCGCAUACGUUCUACGGAAGAAAGUGGGGGACCUUCGGGCCUCAUGCUUUUGGAGCGGCCGAUGUCUGAUUAGCUAGUUGGUGAGGUAAAGGCUCACCAAGGCGACGAUCAGUAGCUGGUCUGAGAGGACGACCAGCCACACUGGGACUGAGACACGGCCCAGACCCCUACGGGAGGCAGCAGUGGGGAAUUUUGGACAAUGGGCGCAAGCCUGAUCCAGCAAUGCCGCGUGAGUGAAGAAGGCCUUCGGGUUGUAAAGCUCUUUUGUCAGGGAAGAAACGGCUGAGGAUAAUACCUUCGGCUAAUGACGGUACCUGAAGAAUAAGCACCGGCUAACUACG
This 480-nucleotide ribosomal RNA is filed under the name uncultured bacterium. RNAcentral's name for it is "partial 16S ribosomal RNA". It matches the Rfam family "Bacterial small subunit ribosomal RNA", at positions 30 to 505 of the family's 1533-position model. The record is from RNAcentral.